This 320-nucleotide unclassified non-coding RNA is filed under the name Hevea brasiliensis (rubber tree). Lineage: Eukaryota; Viridiplantae; Streptophyta; Magnoliopsida; Malpighiales; Euphorbiaceae. The record is from RNAcentral.
UUUGUCAUUAUAGCAUCCGUCUCAUGAUUGUCAUGCAAAGGAGCAGUUGAACCUCCAUCAUCAUCAUCAUCUGGCACUGCUUCACCAUUAAGAUCUAGAUCAGAAGAUCUCUUCCACUCUGGGGUUGGUGGGCAAACAACCAUUUCUGGUUUUGUUUCAUGAUAAAAUUCAUAUAAUGUCUUAAUAUAGUCCGGUUUAUAGAUUCCUGGAGGACGUGCUUCAGCAAAUAAUUUUAUUGCCUGUGUGACAGACAUUGAAAGUGACCGCAUUAUGUAAUGGACAAUCAUAUAUCCUGUGCGAUUAUGCCCAUGCGUACAAUG